UGGGGCAUAUUGGACAAUGGGAGCAAGCCUGAUCCAGCCAUGCCGCGUGAGUGAUGAAGGCCCUAGGGUUGUAAAGCUCUUUCGCCAGGGACGAUAAUGACGGUACCUGGAUAAGAAGCCCCGGCUAACUUCGUGCCAGCAGCCGCGGUAAUACGAAGGGGGCUAGCGUUGUUCGGAAUUACUGGGCGUAAAGCGCAUGCAGGCGGAUCGCUAAGUGGGGGGUGAAAGCCGGAGGCUCAACCUCGGAACUGCCUUCGAUACUGGCGAUCUAGAGUGCGGGAGAGGUGAGUGGAACUCCGAGUGUAGAGGUGAAAUUCGUAGAUAUUCGGAAGAACACCAGUGGCGAAGGCGGCUCACUGGCCCGGUACUGACGCUGAGAUGCGAAAGCGUGGGGAGCAAACAGGAUUAGAUACCCCCGUAGUCC
Molecule: ribosomal RNA, 424 nt
Filed under: uncultured prokaryote
Description: bacterial SSU rRNA
Rfam family: Bacterial small subunit ribosomal RNA
Source: RNAcentral